RNAcentral lists this ribosomal RNA (434 nucleotides) under uncultured bacterium. RNAcentral's name for it is "partial 16S ribosomal RNA". It matches the Rfam family "Bacterial small subunit ribosomal RNA", at positions 29 to 507 of the family's 1533-position model. The record is from RNAcentral.
AGUGAACGCUGGCGGCAGGCCUAACACAUGCAAGUCGAACGAACCUUUCGGGGUUAGUGGCGGACGGGUGAGUAACACGUGGGAACGUGCCGUUAGGUUCGGAAUAACUCAGGGAAAAUUGUGCUAAUACCGAACGUGCCCUUGGGGGGGAAGAUUAAUCGCCUUUAGAUUGGCCCGUGUCUGAUUAGUUAGUUGGUGGAGGUAAUGGCUCAACAAUGCGACCAUCAGUAGCUGGUCUGGGAGGAUGAUCAGGCACUUUGGGAGUGAGCCACGGCCCAAACUCCUACGGGAGGCCGCAGUGGGGCAUCUUGCGCAAUGGGCGAAGGCCUGAUGCGGCCAGGCCGCGUGAAUGAUGCAGGUCUUGGGAUUGUAAAAUUCUUGCACCGGGGACGAUAAUGACGGUACACGGUGAAAAAGCCCCUGCUAACUUCGUG